RNAcentral lists this ribosomal RNA (253 nucleotides) under uncultured bacterium. RNAcentral's name for it is "partial 16S ribosomal RNA". It matches the Rfam family "Bacterial small subunit ribosomal RNA", at positions 524 to 776 of the family's 1533-position model. The record is from RNAcentral.
GACAGAGGGGGCAAGCGUUGCUCGGAAUUACUGGGCGUAAAGCGCACGUAGGCGGUCAGGCAAGUCGGGUGUGAAAGCCCUGGGCUCAACCUGGGAAUGGCAUUGGAAACUGGCUAGCUGGAGUGUGGCAGAGGGGGGUGGAAUUCCGCGUGUAGCAGUGAAAUGCGUAGAGAUGCGGAGGAACACCGAUGGCGAAGGCAGCCCCCUGGGCCAACACUGACGCUCAGGCACGAAAGCGUGGGGAGCAAACAGG